RNAcentral lists this ribosomal RNA (518 nucleotides) under Janibacter hoylei. RNAcentral's name for it is "bacterial SSU rRNA". It matches the Rfam family "Bacterial small subunit ribosomal RNA", at positions 381 to 909 of the family's 1533-position model. The record is from RNAcentral. Lineage: Bacteria; Bacillati; Actinomycetota; Actinomycetes; Micrococcales; Intrasporangiaceae.
GCCUGAUGCAGCGACGCCGCGUGAGGGAUGACGGCCUUCGGGUUGUAAACCUCUUUCAGCAGGGAAGAAGCGAAAGUGACGGUACCUGCAGAAGAAGCACCGGCUAACUACGUGCCAGCAGCCGCGGUAAUACGUAGGGUGCGAGCGUUGUCCGGAAUUAUUGGGCGUAAAGAGCUUGUAGGCGGUUUGUCGCGUCUGCUGUGAAAAUCCGGGGCUCAACCCCGGACUUGCAGUGGGUACGGGCAGACUAGAGUGUGGUAGGGGAGACUGGAAUUCCUGGUGUAGCGGUGAAAUGCGCAGAUAUCAGGAGGAACACCGAUGGCGAAGGCAGGUCUCUGGGCCACUACUGACGCUGAGAAGCGAAAGCAUGGGGAGCGAACAGGAUUAGAUACCCUGGUAGUCCAUGCCGUAAACGUUGGGCGCUAGGUGUGGGACUCAUUCCACGAGUUCCGUGCCGCAGCUAACGCAUUAAGCGCCCCGCCUGGGGAGUACGGCCGCAAGGCUAAAACUCAAAGGAA